AAUGAACGUUGGCGGCGUGGAUUAGGCAUGCAAGUCGAGCGCAACCCCGCAAGGGGAAGAGCGGCGAAAGGGACAGUAAUGUGUAGGUACCUGCCCUCAGGACUGGAAUAGCUGCGGGAAACUGCAGGUAAUGCCAGAUAAUAUCUCCGGAUCAAAGGUGUGAUUCCGCCGGGAGAUGGGCCUACAUCCUAUUAGCUAGUUGGUGAGGUAAUAGCUCACCAAGGCAAUGAUGGGUAGCAGGUGUGAGAGCACGACCUGCGUCACUGGGACUGAGACACUGCCCAGACACCUACGGGUGGCUGCAGUCGAGAAUCUUCGGCAAUGGGCGCAAGCCUGACCGAGCGACGCCGCGUGCGGGAUGAAGGCCUUCGGGUUGUAAACCGCUGUCGGAGGGGAGGAAAUGGCGGUGGGUUCUCCCAUCGUUUUGACCUAUCCUCGGAGGAAGUGUGGGCUAAGUUCGUGCCAGCAGCCGCAGUAACAC
RNAcentral lists this ribosomal RNA (481 nucleotides) under uncultured bacterium. RNAcentral describes it as "bacterial SSU rRNA". It matches the Rfam family "Bacterial small subunit ribosomal RNA", at positions 29 to 526 of the family's 1533-position model. The record is from RNAcentral.